AAUGGUAGAGGUGCGGGAUUCAAGAGUACUCCGGCAAAUAUGGGCACAGCCGGACGAAAGGGGAAACCGCCGAAGAAUCGAAAGCCUGCCCAGGGCUCCGGUUCUGGCCCGCCGCAGAAGAUGCGUCGGUCUGUCACGAACGUGGAGCGCUAUCA
RNAcentral lists this non-coding RNA (155 nucleotides) under chicken gut metagenome. Its description in RNAcentral is "Lysine riboswitch". It matches the Rfam family "Lysine riboswitch aptamer". Rfam says of the family: Riboswitches are metabolite binding domains within certain messenger RNAs that serve as precision sensors for their corresponding targets. Allosteric rearrangement of mRNA structure is mediated by ligand binding, and this results in modulation of gene expression. The record is from RNAcentral.